Long non-coding RNA from Musa acuminata AAA Group (dessert banana), 1510 nucleotides. RefSeq lists it as uncharacterized. Lineage: Eukaryota; Viridiplantae; Streptophyta; Magnoliopsida; Zingiberales; Musaceae. The record is from RefSeq and is a predicted model, not a curated record. The transcript is spliced from 3 exons.
GCUCACUCAUGUCUAUAUCCAGUGACAUUGUGACGGCUGUUCCAUUGACUCUAAUAAUUACUCCCGUCAAUUUCACAUAAAUACUCACAAACUAAUAGAAUAAUAAUAGGUCAUCAUUUCAUAAAACAUCUAUUUAAGUACCUAUAUAUAUAUAUAUAUAUUUGCGAUAUUCUAUUUACUACCACUGUGGAAGAUUUGACGCCCAUAUUUUAAGCUACAGUAACGUACGAUGUGAUCAUAUCAUAUAGCAACGUAAUCAAGACAUAUCGUGGCAUGUGAUCAGGUGGAGUGCAGUCGCGUAGUGAUUCGAAGAUUGACGGGGAAGUACGUAAUGUCAUUUACGGGAAGACAACUUGAUGUUUGUAUCAUUCAGCUGUAAUGUGAAAUAGGAGAGUUGAAAUGAAAAUGAUUUUUAGGGUAAGAUUGUUACAUAAUAUUUCCUCAUUUAUUCUGCGACUUUGGAUUUGUGUUGGUGGAAGAACUGAUGAUGAAUUGACCGAUUGGUUUAAUGGUAAGAAUUUAGUGAAUUACUCUGCAAAAUCUUUCGCCGGGGUUUUGAAACCCUAGUCGGAACAGCCUCGCCGGCCGCCGCGGUCAAAAUGCCAGUCCCCUCGGAGAAUGGCGACACCACCACCGUCGCCCGCUUCCGUUGCCCCCACCACCAUCCCAACUUCGUCUAACCAAGCCUCGUCAGAUUUAUCGAUUAGGAACUUGUGUGUCUGUUAUUUAGGGGAUUGGAAUAGUGGGGAGAUGACGGGGAAGAAGCUGAGGCUGUGGACAGCUUUGACUAUCCCGGAGGUUGACGAAGGCCGCGCCGCAAGAUGGACUCCCUCCGCCGAGAUUGUCAUUCGUCACGGAUAAGGCUCUAAUGCUGCAUACUGAGUCAGGAGCCGCAAACCAAGAGGGAAGCUACAGGAUCAUCAAACCUCACAAAAGUCCUAGGAGUGGUGUAACAUCUUGCCAGUCUGGGAUUUUGGCAGCUACAGUGGCACCGGCUAGCACUGGAAUUAUGUGAUCUGCUACCCCGUUCAUGGCCCAGCUUGGUGACAUGUCUUCUCUGCUUGUCAACCCUUCUCCACAUCGAAUUCUUCAUGUUGGGUGAGUGGCUUACAUGUCUACUGCAAGGAUAUAAAGCCAAGCGUCAUUUCCUUGUCUGUAACACCUAACUAGGAUGAAGAUGCCAUGGCGACCACAGAACAGAGAAAGCACAAACUGCUGAAAGAUCAAUGUCUCAGUCCUUUCCUGGUGUCUCUCUUCUCUGGCUUGGUUGUCCACUGGCGCCAACUUUGUUGUGUGGGAAAUCAUUCACGGGACUGCGUGCUGUUGCUGUCAUGGUUGUUGUUCCUUCUUCCUCUUGGUACUGAUGGCCGUAGAUGACUCUCGAGGUCACUCUGCCCAUGACCAUUUAGCUUUUCUGGAAAAAAAAAGGGGCAGAGUUCUAUUGUUUCUGUGCUGUCCUCAAUGCAGCAAAAACUCAUCAUGUAUUAUUGAUCCUGAUCAUGAACAUAUC